Carassius carassius (crucian carp) is the source of this 1779-nucleotide long non-coding RNA. RefSeq lists it as uncharacterized. The transcript is spliced from 4 exons. Lineage: Eukaryota; Metazoa; Chordata; Actinopteri; Cypriniformes; Cyprinidae. The record is from RefSeq and is a predicted model, not a curated record.
UGAUCUGGAAUCGCAGGUGAUUCUGUAGCGCAGGUGAUCUGAAAACGCAGGUUAUUCAGUAGCGCAUGUGAUAUGGAAGCGCAGGUGAUUCAGUAGCGCAGUUGAUCUGGAAGCGCAGGUGAUUCAGUAGCGCAGUUGAUCUGGAAGCGCAGGUGAUUCAGUAGCGCAGCUGAUCUGGAAGCACAGGUGAUUCAGUAGCGCAGUUGAUCUGGAAGCGCAGGUGAUUCAGUAGCGCAGGUUAUCUGGAAGCGCAGGUGAUUCAGUAGCGCAGGUUAUCUGGAAGCGCAGGUGAUUCUGUAGCGCAGGUGAUCUGGAAGCGCAGGUGAUUCUGUAGCGCAGUUGAUCUGGAAGCGCAGGUGAUUCAGUAGCGCAGGUGAUCUGGAAGCGCAGUUGAUCUAGUAGCGCAGUUGAUCUGGAAGCGCAGGUGAUUCAGUAGCGCAGCUGAUAUGGAAGCUCAGGUGAUUCAGUAGCGCAGCUGAUCUGGAAGCACAGGUGAUUCAGUAGCGCAGUUGAUCUGGAAGCGCAGGUGAUUCUGUAGCGCAGGUGAUUCAGUAGCGCAGGUGAUCUGGAAGCGCAGGUGAUUCUGUAGCGCAGGUGAUUCAGUAGCGCAGGUGAUCUGGAAGCGCAGGUGAUUCUGUAGCGCAGUUGAUCUGGAAGCGCAGGUGACUCUGUAGUGCAGGUUAUAUGGAAGCGCAGUUGAUUCAGUAGCGCAGUUGAUCUGGAAACGCAGGUGAUUCAGUAGCGCAGGUGAUCUGGAAGCGCAGGUGAUUCUGUAGCGCAGUUGAUCUGGAAGCGCAGGUGAUUCAGUAGCGCAGCUGAUAUGGAAGCUCAGGUGAUUCAGUAGCCCAGCUGAUCUGGAAGCGCAGGUGAUUCAGUAGCGCAGGUGAUCUGGAAGCGCAGGUUAUUCAGUAGCAAAAUAUUAUAAAAGAUUCAAAAGCGCAGGUUCGCACUAAUGACACACAUCCUGAAAGCUGAUAGAGUGUCACUUAAUCAAGUUCUCAGAUGUUAAACAUCAGACUCAAACUAUCAGAACUGAUCUUCUCAGACUAGCUGCCAAAAACCCAACAGGAAAUGAUGUGUUUAUCCUGCGCCGUCUACUUCAAUCACUGUAACACGUUCACAUUCACUAACCAUUAUAGAAGCCUCCUAAAUGACACUAAAUCCUAACAGUUAUGAUUUUUCCUGUUGUGAAUCAGUGACGAUGUUUCUGGCACAAGUCGUUCGUAGAAACACUUAAUUUAAAUGGAAAUAAAUGCAUAUUUUUACUCUGAUGUUUGUUGCUGCCAGUAGGAUGACAUUCAUAUUUAUAAUAUUCUUUAUUCUAGUUGUUUUGUAUCUAAAGCGCUUUAUGUUUGUCCUCAAAUCCUCACAAUCAGAAUGUGAUUCCAGAUGGAUUCUGAUGAUGAUGAUGAUGCUCUAUGAAGCUGUGUUGUAUAGUUUUGGGAUCAUAACCUCUCCAUCAAUACCUGUUAUAAAUUAUCACAUGAAACCAUUAAUAUCUUAUAUAUUUGAUUGCCUUUGUUCUAUUUAUUGAUAUUUGAAUCAGGUGUCUUGAGAUCUGAGGUUUUGUCAUGUGUGUGUGUGUGUGUGUGUGUGUGUGUGUGUGUGUGUGUGUGUGUGUGUGUGUGUGUGUGUGUGUAAAACGGCACACUGUGGACUCGAUGUUUAAAAGUGCAGUUAUACUAUUGAGCUUCAGUGAUGAUUUCGUGUGCGACUGUGACUGAAUCUACUUCACCAAUAAGACUGUCAAAUAAAUAUAAUUUAGGGAUGUUUUCUAUU